This is a non-coding RNA of Salmo salar (Atlantic salmon), 6153 nucleotides long. Lineage: Eukaryota; Metazoa; Chordata; Actinopteri; Salmoniformes; Salmonidae. The record is from RefSeq and is a predicted model, not a curated record.
GCUUCGGAACUGGGCAAUGCAACCUGGAGAGGCUUCGGCUGCUUGGCGGAUGGAAGGGCAGCGCUAUCCCGUGAGAAGUUGAGUUGUGGACGUUGUUUUCACGAGGUUCCUUGAUUGGUGAAGCGUGUAGAGUUGAUCCAUAGUACGGGGAAUGGGACAUUUCGUCGAGUAGUGCUGACGAAAUGGAGGAAAUUGAGAAAAAGUUGGUGAUGCAAAAGCUGUGCUGGAAUGCGAACAAUAUGCGUGCCAGUUCUGAUGGUAUGGAGCGGGAGGGUCAAGGACCGGAAUGGUCGGUAGUGGAACGACAUAGGAAGAAGAGAGAUCAUGAUACAGAAAGCAGUGGAGCGUCUAGUAAAGAAAGCAUAAAGAGGCCCAAGGUAGGACGCAAGCGUAGUGAUGUGGAAAGUGGUCAUAGUGUUUGAUGAGAUCACAGGGCCUCACUUACUGUGCGUCCUAUUCGACUAACUAAUACCGCAGAGAAAGAGGUAGGUGAAGUGAAAUUAGCUCGGUUAAUUGGAAAUAGUAUGUUGUUAAUAUUGUGUGGUAGUAGCCAGGCUCAGCAAGAGAAGAUUUAGAAAAUGGAAAAUCUUAAUGGAAGAAGAUUAAAAGCCAUGUCCCUGGUGCAUAUGCUAGAUUGAGGGGAUGUCUAUGUCCACAGAUGAUAUUAAAGAAAAUGUGAAGGGAGGCAGAGUGAUUGGGGCCAAAAAGUUGAUCAGUAGGAAAGAGGGUCAAAGAAGUGAAAGCUUGUCAGGGAUGUUGAGGUUUGAGAAAGUCUUGCCGGGAAAAGUAGAGAUAGGAUUCCUUAGUUUCACUGUUAGAGAAUUUGUCCCAUAUGCACUGCAGUGUUUUAAAUGCCGAAGAAUGGGACAUGUAGCUGCUCAGUGUAAAGGAAAGAAAAGAUGUGCCAAGUGUGCAGGGGCACAUGAUUACAGUGAAUGUGGAAGCAAUGUGAAGAUGAAGUGCUGUAAUUGUGGGGGAGAACAUAGUGCAGCAUUUGGUGGAUGCCAGGCACAGAGAGAGGCUAGAUGCUCAGAGAUGUGGGAUCAGUAGACGUUAGGGAAUUUGGAAUUUGAUAUUCAUGGUAGUACAGAAUUGGGCAGAUCAUGAUUUAUCGUACAUUGCAGCACAGUAGGUGGCGGCAUGCGCUAAAACGAUUGUUUUAAAACGACCGCUAUGAUAUCAUAGAAGUAGAAGAAGAAGGCGAUGGCUGUUUCUGUAUUUCUCCCCCUUUGCGCUAUCUGAAAAACAUGAAUUUAUCGAGACGAAUUGGUAAAAUUGAAUAAGACGGAGAAAAGCAAGCAUUCUCCAAACUAGUGUCCACCCUGAGAUUGGACGGUUGUGAGUUCAAUCCCUAGCCGAGUCAUACCAAAGACUGUAAAAAUGGGACUUGAUGCAUCUCUGCUUGGCACUCAGCAUUAAGGAGAUAGAUUGGGGGUGAGGCCCUGCGAUAGACUAGCGUCCUGUCCAAGCUGCCCCGCGCUACAUAAAUAGGAGUUGGGACAGCCUGGAGACGUUCGGCUCGCACAAGCCAAGGCACUUCAUUUCACAAGGUAAUAUUCUUCAAAUUCAAGGUUUGAAAGCACAAAUGAUGAGCUUGCCAGGGUGCCAGUCUGUUUGUGCCAUCAUGCCACUGCUUGUCAUGCCAAACUGUUUGGCAUAUGUCACGGAGUACAAGGAGUGUAAUGUUAACACGAACACAUACAUAGGUUACCAAUGAGAAGCUGAGGUGGAAAUCUUAGCUAGAAUAAUUUGUGGCUUAACAUGUUAAUGAAUAAUUUCCCAUAUGAGAGGCAGUGCAAUUUAGGGAGUAUUGGCAGUACAUCACUGAUAUAGUGUACCAAUAUUGCUAAUCACAAUAUUCUGUGUAUUACAAGUCAAUGGUUGUUUGGUAGUGUGACCUCCCUGCAGCUGUCAUCAAAUGUGGGACUAGCUAGCCUGUCUUACUGCAUUCUACACAGAUUCUGUCUCUCGAGAAAUUGGAGGGACACAAACGUCGGUAGUAACAGAUCCACCUCCUCUGAAUCCAGGGCAAUGUUUUGCCCUGGGGGAAAAACCGAUUGACUGAACAAAGGAAAGUUUCUGCCUCCCAUGUGGGAAAACUCUGCAAUAAGCAAAAAGCCAUCCUGAAGAAAAAGUACCAAAGUCCGCCAGGAGGGGAAACUGAGCAUCCAUUUUAUAUACAUUGCGAUCUCCACUAUCAAGCUGGUAAAAGUAGCAAGGAGAGCCAACAUGAGUAUAUUCUAUCUGAGUCAGGCUACAGGAGAAGACAUCAAGGAACAUGUUCAUUCUUAAACUCAGAAGUCGAUGAGCCUAUCAGAACAGCUCUGACAAAGGGCGUCUCUGGUAUUGGCAAAACUAGCCAGGUGCGGAUGAUGAUUCUUAACUGGGCAGAGGGAAAAGGAAACCAGGAAGACCAACUAAUAUUUCCCCUUCCUUUCCGGGAGCUGAAUUUGCUGAAGGAGAGACUGAGUCUGAUUGAACUUCUUUACGAGUUUUUCCCAGAAUUGAAAGAACCAGGAAUUUGCAACUUGGAAAAUUGCAGAGUUGGGUUCUUCUUUGACGGGCUGGAUGAAUUCCGACGUCUUCUUGACUUCAAGAACAGCCCGAUAGUGACCAAUGUCACAGAGGCCUCCUCCGUGCCGACACUGCUUACAAACCUAAUUAACGGUAAUCUUCUUCCCUCCGCCGCUCACAUAUGGAUUACAUCCAGACCUGCGGCAGUCAGUCGCAUCCCUCUUCAGAACAUUGACAGAGUGUCAGAAAUCGAAGGCUUCACCGACUCCCAGAAAGAAGAGUUCUUCAGGAGAGCAAUCAAUGACACGGACCAGGCCAAAGCAGUUAUCACCUACUUGAAGAACUCGAAGGGCCUGUACAACUUGUGCCAGAGACCUUUUAUCUGUUCAAUCUCAGCGUCAAUACUCGAAAAACAGACAUAUGUACCCGACAAAACAUGCGAACCUGUCGCACUAACUCCAUUAUUUAACGACCCACUUAUCCUGUUGCAAAUGGGGAACCACAAUGUAAAGAUAGUUGAUGAAUUGGGGAAACUAGCCUUUAAGCAGUUGGUGAAAGGCAACACGGUUUUCUACGAGGAAGACCUAAGAGAGUGCAACAUUGAUGUCCAAGUGGCAGCUGUGUACGCAAAAGUGAACAUACCCGUCUUUAGGGAGGAUAUUGGGCUGCACCAAAAGAAGAUCUACUACUUUGGGCAUACUACCAUUCAGGUGUUCUUUGCUGCAUUGCGGUUUCUUCAAUCUGUUGGCGACCAAGACAAAAACCAGGCUGUCAACCGGAAAACCCAGAUUGAGAGAACUCUCUGGUUUUUUAGAGAUGCCACCCAACUCAAGAGCGCGGUGGACAUGACUUUGCGGAGCAAGACCGGACAUAUGGACCUCUUCCUUCGCUUCCUCCUCGGCAUUGCUCAGAACUUUAACCAGAUGUUCUCAGAGGCUGGCUUCACCACGUCUACUGCCCUACCGGAAAUGUUAGUGUACAUUAAGAAGAAGGUCUUGGAGAAUCCUGCUUCACCGAGGACCCUCAACUUGCUGAACUGCCUGAGGGAACUGAAAGACUACUCUCUAGACAACGAUAGUGUGCGCUUUCUCAAGACGGCAAUCCCCCCAGAUGCCAAGUAUCCACCUGCACAUUGGUCCGAUCUGGCCGCUCUGUUAGUGGCAUCAGAGUCUGGGUCGAUAGACGUGCUUGGGUUGGAAGUAGAGAACAGAGGAGACAAGGAACUUCUGAGGAUGCUGCCAGUGAUCAAAGCUUCCCAGACCGCCACGCUGUCGUAUCACAACCUGACUGAGAAAUCCUGUGAAUGUCUGGCCUCGGCGCUCACCUCAAAGGUGUCCAAUCUGAAAACUCUGGACCUGAGUUUCAACACGCUGAAGGACUCAGGAGUACAGCUGUUGGCGGCUGGCUUGGCCAAGCCACAUUGCCGACUGGAGAGACUGAAACUGUCCGGCUGCAGGGUCAAACAGUAUGGCUUUGCAGCUCUGGCCAAAGCUCUCAAAUCCAACCCGUCUCACCUUCGAGAGUUGGAUCUGAGCGGCAACGAACCCGGAAGAAUCGGGGGUGUUUCAUCUCGUUGACGGACUAAAGGUUGUUAAGUGCGAACUGCAGAUCCUGAAGCUCUCAAACUGCAAGCUGGGCCUGGAGCUGAGUCGCGCUCUGGCGGUGUUGCUGAUAGACAACCCCAGACACCUGCGAGAGCUGGACGUCAGCAUGAACGACCUGGGAGACCCAGAUAUACAAACUGGAGUUGUACUGUUGUCAGCUCACUGAGAAAUGCUGUGAGAACAUGUUUGGAUGUCUGGUGAACAUCCCCAGUCUGAGGGAGCUCAACCUGAGCAACAACAACCUGAAGGACAAGGGGGUCAAGAUGCUCUGCAACGCCUUCGGGCUGCCCGCCUGUCAACUGGAGAAACUCAAUCUGGCGAGCUGUGGCUUCACAUCUGGAGGAUGUCGUUGGCUGGCUGGAGGGUUCAGUUUCAGCCCCACCUUCCUCAAACAGCUGGAUAUCAGCAGGAACCACCUGGGCCACUCAGAUGUUGUCGCGUUUUUCCUGUUCCUCAAAACUAUACGCUUUUCACUGGAGACCCUACGACUGAGUGACUGUAAGAUGACAGAGCUAUGCUGUCCAGCGCUGGUCGAAGCUCUCCGCUCCAAUCUCACCAACCUGAAAGAGCUGGAUCUAUCUGGAAACGACCUGGGAGACAGCGGUGUAAAAACACUCUGCAUGGGACUGACCUCAACAACCUGUAAACUGGAGAGACUGUUUCUGAGGGCUGCUCCUCCCUAGCGUUAGCCCUGAAGUCCAGCUGCUCCAAAAUCACAGAACUAGGCCUGAUGGGAAACGACACGGGAGAAGAUGGACUGCGGAUUCUCUCCGGCAUCAGGGAUGACCCACACUACAAUCUACAGACUCUAGAAAUAAACGAUUGAGAGUGGCCUUGCUCGCUGGAGGUGGUUCUUGGCUCGACCUUUUCCCAAAUCUGGAGUGAAGUUACUUAAUGGGGAACACUAUGGAGUGAAGAUACGAAACGACUGGCUGACAAGUCUCGACACACUUGCUCAACAGUAAGCACUUGACGUGCUUUGAAACAACUGGACUGGUUCACUGACGUUUGACCAUUUUUAAAGUUGCUUAAAGUAUCCUGGCUGCCCACACUUGAACAGAAGACCAAAGAGUAUUUACCUAGAAACAGAUAGUGAGGCUGAAGUGACACACACACUGUUGCUAACUCCGUUCCUCUGGUCUUGCUACAGUAUCAACUCAUUUAACCUUUGCAGAAGCCUUACAGCAUGUUUUGCACAUCAGUAUGUACACUAUAGAAUGUAUAGCCUCAAACACACAUGACCGGCCUCUUGACAACGUCUUAGCCAACUACGGUAGCGAAAAGCUAGCAGUUUGGUGGAGUGAGGUUACGUUAUAGCGUCUCUGAGGGAGAAGGAUGAUGCGAUGUUUUCUUUUUAACACUGGUACAGUCUCUUGGUAGCACAGUCUUUUUGCUUUUUGCUUUUCAAUUUUUAUUUUAUUUCUCUUUGAAAGUGCUUUUUUUUAUUAAGAUGAUCAAACAUUUCGGAAAAUGUAUACAGUAGUACAACUCUUGAUUUAUUUACUAUUGUUGUGUACAAUGUACAUUUUACCCAAAUAUACCAAGCUACUUCUAUUGGUCAUGAUGUUUUUUUUUUUUUUAAGUACUAAUGGGAGGUUUAACAUCAGAAGCUUUCCAACUUUGGUCAUAUGUUUUAGGUCUGGUCUCCAAAUCGGUUUGCACCUUCUGCAACAGCCUGGGUGAUGCCGUAUUUCAAGUUAAACAAGUGCCUUUAGAGUAGUGUGAUUGUGGGUGACAGUUCUCUACUAUUUGUCUCCUCUGCUGGUAUGUACAGUAUGUCUGUUUGAGUGUGCUUGUAUGUGUGUUCUGUUGUUGUGUUUGUGUGUAAAUGUAUACAAUCAUGUCUCAUGUUCAAAUUGUUACAAUGUUACACAUUGAUUCUCUGAUUGUUAUGGUGCAUCACCACCACCACCUGGUGGCGAAAAACACGAAUUUCUCUCUAAGGGGGGUAAACUAAUGACGUGUGUGAAGCCAAUCGCGGCAGCACCCACUACUGGGUCCCUAAUAAUAAACCAGACAGCAUCUUUUGCUACAC